This is a non-coding RNA of Dermatophagoides farinae (American house dust mite), 368 nucleotides long. The record is from RefSeq and is a predicted model, not a curated record. NCBI's taxonomy places the organism in Eukaryota, Metazoa, Arthropoda, Arachnida, Sarcoptiformes, Pyroglyphidae.
AUUUCUUGAUUUAUUUUUUUUUCGUUCACUUAAUAAUCCAGCAUUUCAUAACGAACAACGAGCGUUGGUGGUGGUGUUGUUUGGAUAGCCAAUAGAGAAGUUGUUUGUCAUUGUUGCCGAAAUUGGUGCUAAAUAAAAACAAAACCUUUUUGUUUUCUUGUUGAGAAUUAUUCCGUAAUUUUUUGAUUGGCUGACCAAAAUUAACGCAAAUCGAUCACAAAUUUUUCAAAUAUAUAUUUUUCAAUUCAUUCGUUCUGUUCAUCGUUAUUGUAUUUUUUUUUACCGAAAAACCAUAUUAUGUCGAGUUUGAUGAGUGGUGAGAACCACAAAUUGAAACAAUUAUCAUCAACUAAUAAUUCUUCUUCUGU